RNAcentral lists this small nuclear RNA (107 nucleotides) under Rhinolophus ferrumequinum (greater horseshoe bat). Its description in RNAcentral is "U2 spliceosomal RNA (ENSRFEG00010003329.1)". It matches the Rfam family "U2 spliceosomal RNA". From Rfam's summary of the family: U2 is a small nuclear RNA (snRNA) component of the spliceosome (involved in pre-mRNA splicing). Complementary binding between U2 snRNA (in an area lying towards the 5' end but 3' to hairpin I) and the branchpoint sequence (BPS) of the intron results the bulging out of an unpaired adenosine, on the BPS, which initiates a nucleophilic attack at the intronic 5' splice site, thus starting the first of two transesterification reactions that mediate splicing. The record is from Rfam by way of RNAcentral. Lineage: Eukaryota; Metazoa; Chordata; Mammalia; Chiroptera; Rhinolophidae.
AUCUCUUCUCGGCCUUUUGGCUAAGAUCAAGUGUAGAAUGUAGGAUAAAAAUCACACAGUUAUCUCAAUAGAUGCAGAAAAGCAUUUAAUAAAAUCUAGCACCCUUU